GGUGGUGUAGCUCAGUGGUAGAGCACACGCUUAGCGUGCAUGAGGUCCUGGGUUCUAUCCCUAGUACUUCCA
Molecule: transfer RNA, 72 nt
Filed under: Camelus bactrianus (Bactrian camel)
Lineage: Eukaryota; Metazoa; Chordata; Mammalia; Artiodactyla; Camelidae
Also listed under: 2 other names
Rfam family: tRNA
About the family: Transfer RNA (tRNA) molecules are approximately 80 nucleotides in length.
Source: Rfam by way of RNAcentral